Molecule: long non-coding RNA, 1082 nt
Organism: Cryptomeria japonica (Japanese cedar)
Lineage: Eukaryota; Viridiplantae; Streptophyta; Pinopsida; Cupressales; Cupressaceae
Exons: 2
Source: RefSeq, a predicted model, not a curated record
ACCCUUGUGUUGGAGACUUUAUUCAUUCCAUGGUUGCCAAGCUAUAAUUAGGGCGGCCAUUUCUCAGAACAUACAGCACACAAUUAAAUAAAUUUUCUUUAUACCCAAACUAUACUUAACCCCUUUCCUUUAAAGUCGUGGGUAGAUCAACAAAGCUAGAGCAGUAAACAACAUUGGAUUUGAGGUAAGCAAAACAUAACCCUUAAAAAAUGUCAUGGACGUCAUUGUGUGUUCAUGUCCAAAGAUUGUUUUGUUACUUGGGAGUUUUCUUUUGAAGUUGUUUUUGGUAAUUGUUGUAUUUGAUUUUAAUUUGUUUACUGGAUCGGAAGAUCUAGGGUGUUUUUUCAUUUUUCUAAAGAUCGUCAUUGGAGGGCAGAUUAACUUCUUCAUCUAGGGUUUUCUUUGCAUGAGAGCUGCGGGAAAAUUUGAAAUUUUAGAGUUUUGAAGGAAUCCGAAUCAUCUAGGGUUUUGGGUUUGAAGGCUAGUCUGGGGGACUAGCCUCAUCUGUGCUGAUGCAGUGGGGAAGAUCAGCUGAAGAUAGAGAGAAAAAGAAGCAGAGGUAGAAGGACAAUGUUAAGGUUAGGGUUAGGAUUUUCCAUGGGGAGUUCGGGCAUCGGGAACAAGUUUGUGUCGGUGAAUCUAAAUAAAUCAUAUGGGUAGCAGGUUGGUUCGGGGUUGGGGUAUCACAGAGGUGGGCGAUCGAGGCUGGGUGGGGGGCAUGGAGGAAUGUUGGUUCUAUCAAGGCCUAGAACGACUCAGGGGGAUGCAAGGCCUAAGGGUUCCAAGCUUGCAGUUCAUCCCCAUUAGAAUUUGUCGUCUCUGCGUAGAGAGCACAGGGGAAAACAAAAAGUUGCAGUUGACCAAGAGCAAACUGCAACCGUGAACCUGAUCAACAUCACACAACUUUAAGAAGCAUAACAAAGUCAUAACAAUUACACAGCACACAAAAUAGAUAUAGACUUGGCAGGAACUUCGAUUCUCUACCACUUGUUUACUCUGUUUUCAAUCUGAUCAUUGUAAUUGCCUUUUCUUUAAAAUAUGUAUAUGAUUUUUUUAAGAAUAUCAAGAUGAGUUUCCACUAA